This 513-nucleotide long non-coding RNA is filed under the name Gossypium raimondii (Peruvian cotton). Its description in RNAcentral is "long non-coding RNA (GRAI_LNC009655)". The record is from RNAcentral. Lineage: Eukaryota; Viridiplantae; Streptophyta; Magnoliopsida; Malvales; Malvaceae.
GAACAAUGAAGCAAGAUGCAAGAAAUAUUUUUACUUGCUCACAAAUGUGCAGCAAGGGAGCUUAUGGCUGAUAGCUCAUUUUGCUCAUUCAUUCAACUAGAAAAACAAUACAUUUAUAGCCAAAUACAUCACCAAAUACUACCUACUGCCACUAAUCAUACUUUGAAACAAGUAAAACUUAACUUGCACACAAGCUGAUUAUGUCAAUCAGCACCUAAAAACAUCAAAACAAUACCAACUUAGUUCAUUUUCAACUAAGUAGCUUAACAAAGUAACUAAACAACCUUGCUGUUACAGCAAGCAUACGUGCUGCAGCAUGUUUACAAGCUGCAUGCACUUAACCAAAAAUAUAACAGCAGCAUGUUCGUAAUUUCUUGAUGAGACCAAGUUAAUUUGGAGCUGCGAGCUUCGAAACUUGUGGGAUCAAUAUCGCCAUAAAUCUGAAAUUGGAGUUUUAUAUUAGUGUUAAAUCGUCAAACAACAGCGUCACUCAAGAACUGGCUCAAGAAAUUG